Molecule: ribosomal RNA, 253 nt
Filed under: uncultured bacterium
Lineage: Bacteria
Description: partial 16S ribosomal RNA
Rfam family: Bacterial small subunit ribosomal RNA
Source: RNAcentral
UACAGAGGUCUCAAGCGUUGUUCGGAUUCAUUGGGCGUAAAGGGUGCGUAGGUGGCGCGAUAAGUCGGGUGUGAAAUCUCGGAGCUUAACUCCGAAAUUGCAUUCGAUACUGCCGUGCUUGAGGACUGGAGAGGAGACUGGAAUUCAUGGUGUAGCAGUGAAAUGCGUAGAGAUCAUGAGGAAGACCAGUGGCGAAGGCGGGUCUCUGGGCUGACACUGACGCUCAUGCACGAAAGCGUGGGGAGCAAACAGG